UUAAGGCCUCAGUAAGGCAGAAAUAGUUUUACGGUAUUCAAAGAUUUAACUUUCAUUUAUAUUAAGGAGGCCGUUAACAUGACUGGCAAAGUAAAAUGGUUUAAUUCAGAAAAAGGAUUUGGAUUUAUCGAGCGUGAAGGUGGAGACGACGUAUUUGUACACUUCUCUGCAAUUCAAGGGGAAGGCUUCAAAACAUUAGAAGAAGGCCAAGAGGUUGAAUUCGAAAUCGUUGAUGGCGAUCGUGGUCCACAAGCUGCUAACGUAGUAAAACUUUAAUUUUUAACAAUACAUCAAAAGCUUACUCUUGAUAUUAUCAGGAGUAGGCUU
Molecule: small RNA, 327 nt
Filed under: Evansella cellulosilytica DSM 2522
Lineage: Bacteria; Bacillati; Bacillota; Bacilli; Caryophanales; Bacillaceae
Description: Bacillus cellulosilyticus DSM 2522 cspA thermoregulator
Rfam family: cspA thermoregulator
Source: Rfam by way of RNAcentral